Long non-coding RNA from Pipistrellus kuhlii (Kuhl's pipistrelle), 1865 nucleotides. RefSeq lists it as uncharacterized. Lineage: Eukaryota; Metazoa; Chordata; Mammalia; Chiroptera; Vespertilionidae. The record is from RefSeq and is a predicted model, not a curated record. The transcript has 3 exons.
AAAAAAAAAAAAUCAGAUUAAAAAACAAAACCCCCAAAUAAACAAACCCUGUGCUGUCUAACAAAAUACAACUGCCUUUCAGAGAAUGUUAUAAUGAUGGUUUGUGAUAUCUGUUGUAAAAUGAGUUCCUGGAUUUUCUCCAAACUUCCCUUCCUCUGACAAAGCAUCUCUGGUGUCCCAGAAAAUAAAUUAUUAAACUAAAUUCCACAAAUAUUUUUGAGCCUCUAAUAAGCAAAAAGUAGUUUUCUAGGUAUUUGAAAAAUAUGAACAUGAAAAACCAUGAUCUUUGUUCUCCAAGUUUGCAGUUUUGUAAUCAAGUUAAUACAAACACCAAAACAACUAUAAUUAAAACUAACAUGGAGUUUUGUGAGUGGUACAAAUAAAGUCCUGGGAAGGGAAAUAUGAAAACCAUGGAAGAGUCAGGGCAAGGUGCAUUUGUGGACGAUUUUCAUAAGCGAUAGGUGAAGUUUGGAGACUUUCUAUGGGGGAAGAAAGAACCUGAGAAAAGGUACAGUGAGAGUCAAGUGAGAAAGUAUUUGAGGAACCAGUGUUUAAAUAAUUUACCAGAAAUAGAAGAGAGGUGUUGGGGAUUUACAUGCGAAAACUUCCAUGGAAGGUUAGAAAUCAAUGGUAGGCCAAAGAGUUUUGACUUAACUCAAUAAGCUGCUUGAGAGAGGCAGCUGUGUAACCCUGAGCAAAUCUUUAAAAUUCAUGACAUGCCAUUUCCAUUACUUGUCAUAUGAGGCAUAACCUACUUGGAAAUGUGGUGUGAAACAUAAAUUAUAUCAGUAAAUUAAUUCUUGUGAACCUUGCAAGUUAGUUAUUGUUAGUGAUGGGCAACCACUGAAGGAUUUGGACCAGGAGAAGGAUGUCAUGGGAACUAUGCUUUUAGGGAAAUUAAUCUGGCACUUGUGCUUUGAAUGCAUGCAUGGUAAAAAGACAAGCAAAAAAAGACCAAUAGAAAGUUAAUUCACUUGCAAUAUACAUAUUUUUGAAUGUGCAACAAUACAUGUAUAUUCUUCUAAAUUGAAAAAGUACAAGAGGUUUUGUAAGGAGUAGGCCCCUCUCUUUGAAUGUCCCCCAACCAGCCAGCUGUCUGUCCCUGACACAAUCACAAUAACCAGUUUUUAUGUUUUCUCCCAGAUAUUAUCUGCAUAUUUGUAAACACACACGUGUGCACUAUUUCAGUUUUGGAGCUAUUUCUAUUUCAGAUAGGAGGAGAUCUUCAGCUCAGAUACCACGUGAGCCUGAAUUCCAUUUCGAACUGACAAGGCGAUGCCAGACUGCGGAACCUGUGGAAUGUGGAGGAGCAGCCUGCGAGGUCACCUGGGGCCUGUGGGAUUUCCAGCCUCAAAUACUGGUACACAAGCGGACAUCCAAUCCAAUUUUGACCACAGGCAUCUGAAGGGGAGUUUGCUGGGAAAUUCAACAAGUUUCCUAUCUUCUAAGAUGUUUAUUGAUUAAUGUUUAUUGAACCCUAUUACAUGUUAGGGUUCAGAGAUAAACCAUGGUGAAAAGUUAGCAAGACGGACACAGGCCUUUUCUCUUGGAGUUUAUAUUUCCAGUUGUCCAUUGGGCAUCCUUGCCUAGAUGUUCCACCCAUACAUAAAAAACUCAUGUAAAAUUAAGGUAAUUAUUCCUACCCUGAAGUAUUUCUUUGCUGCUAUUAAGGGACUUCCAUUUCUCAUUUCCUGAGACCUCAAAUAUCAAAUCAUCAACUCUUUUCCUUUGCCUUCCACAAUGAUUACAUUCAUUUUGCUUUACAAAUACGUUGCCAUUUUCUCUUUUCUAUCCUCACACUUCCCUUUUAGUACACCUUCUCAUUACCUUUCAUUUGGUAUAUUGCAAAGUCUCCUAUCAGAUUU